UGCUUGGAUGCUGCGCCGAUCAACAUCAUCACGACGGGAGAAGGAGAAGGAAAGCUAUAGCGCGAAAGAAUAGACGCCACAAACAGAUCAAUUGAAUAAUCGUCGGUUUGAGCGAUCGCGGGUUAUUGUGUGCGUAAAAUCUGUGAAGGUUGAUGAGAAACAUCCAGAGCUACAAGAGCCAGUCGACCGUCUGCCAACAGAUACAGUUGCAGUAGAGCGCUCGCCCGGUUAAGAAGGCGUUUCAGAACAGUUCCUCCAGUGAAGUGAGUGAAAGUGGAUUGUUUUCUGUGAUUUAAUCGUGCAAUAGUGUGUCCCCCGAACGAUGGCUAAAGUGCCGUGCGUACUCGCGAUGAUGUUGUCAGUCACCGCCUUGGCCUGCCUGGCCGGUAUUGUACAGGGUCAUACCUACAAAACCGGUGACUGCCCAACGGUUGAACCGAUGAGCGGUUUCAGCAUGAAGCAGUUCCUCGGCAUCUGGUACGUUAUACAGAAGACCGGCACCGCAUCAACCUGCGUAAUCUACAACAUCACCAAAAAUGCGGACACACCGGACGAGUACUUUAUUGAGCAGAUCUCCCAAAAGGCUCCACUCUCGAUCGCACCCAUCAAGCACGAGUAUUCGUACACUGGCAAGCUUACCGUUACCGACCGGGACGUUCCGGCCCGGAUGACCGUUCGGUUUCCGCUCAGCGUGGCCGGUUCCGCAAAGUUUGUCGUGUUCAUGACCGACUACGACACGUACGCUGGGGUGUUUUCGUGUCAGAAGAUUCCAUUUGGACACCGGCAGAGUGCGACUCUGCUGUCCCGCACGCGCGAUUUGGAUAAAAUCUACGUCGACAAGAUCCGCACCCGGUUAAGCUCGUAUUCGGUGGAUCCGUUCGAUCUGAGCAUCGUCAACCAGACCGGCUGUCCGAAGGAGGGUGAAGCCGGCUGGAACAUCCACAUCGAUCCAGACACCUUCUCGACGCGCAACAUUGCCAACGCGUUCCGGAAGGCGGGUGAAGCGAUCGGUGACGGGUUCGAGGCUGCAGUGAACGCCGGCAAAAAGGUUCAUUUAUUUUGACCCGAAACGCGUACAGACUGAUAGAAACGAAACUGCGAAACGAAAUGGAAGGGGAGGAUGUGUAAGGCGGCAAAUCAGAUCUACAAUAAGUACCGAAAUGGAGAUAGCGAUGAGGAAGAAGCCUAUGUGGAAAAAACAACCAACCGUUCCGAACGGAUGAUGGAGGACGUCGAAUGGUUGCCCUGAAGGGAUGAUGGGCUCACAUUUCGGCCACAUAACUUUUACAUGAAUGUACUAAUUAAUUUAAUUGAUAUGUCAAUAAACAACUGAAACUCCUCA
Molecule: RNA transcript, 1342 nt
Organism: Anopheles moucheti
Lineage: Eukaryota; Metazoa; Arthropoda; Insecta; Diptera; Culicidae
Gene name: apolipoprotein D-like
Exons: 5
Source: RefSeq, a predicted model, not a curated record